UACGGGAGGCAGCAGGGGGAAUAUUGCACAAUGGGCGCAAGCCUGAUGCAGCCAUGCCGCGUGUAUGAAGAAGGCCUUCGGGUUGUAAAGUACUUUCAGUCGUGAGGAAGGUGUUAAGGUUAAUAACCUUAGCAAUUGACGUUAGCGACAGAAGAAGCACCGGCUAACUCCGUGCCAGCAGCCGCGGUAAUACGGAGGGUGCGAGCGUUAAUCGGAAUUACUGGGCGUAAAGGGCACGCAGGCGGUUAAUUAAGUUGGAUGUGAAAUCCCCGGGCUUAACCUGGGAAUGGCAUUCAAGACUGGUUAGCUAGAGUCUUGUAGAGGGGGUUAGAAUUCCAUGUGUAGCGGUGAAAUGCGUAGAGAUGUGGAGGAAUACCGGUGGCGAAGGCGGCCCCUGGACAAAGGACUGACGCUCAUGUGCGAAAGCGUGGGGAGCAAACG
This 441-nucleotide ribosomal RNA is filed under the name uncultured bacterium. Its description in RNAcentral is "bacterial SSU rRNA". It matches the Rfam family "Bacterial small subunit ribosomal RNA", at positions 340 to 774 of the family's 1533-position model. The record is from RNAcentral.